GAUGAACGCUGGCGGCGUGCCUAAUACAUGCAAGUCGAGCGAACAGACGAGGAGCUUGCUCCUCUGACGUUAGCGGCGGACGGGUGAGUAACACGUGGAUAACCUACCUAUAAGACUGGGAUAACUUCGGGAAACCGGAGCUAAUACCGGAUAAUAUAUUGAACCGCAUGGUUCAAUAGUGAAAGACGGUUUUGCUGUCACUUAUAGAUGGAUCCGCGCCGCAUUAGCUAGUUGGUAAGGUAACGGCUUACCAAGGCGACGAUGCGUAGCCGACCUGAGAGGGUGAGAGGCCACACUGGAACGGAGACACGGUCCAGACUCCUACGGGAGGCAGCAGUAGGGAAUGUUCCGAAAUGGGCGAAAGCCUGACGGAGCAACGCCGCGUGAGUGAUGAAGGUCUUCGGAUCGUAAAAAUCUGUUAUUAGGGAAGAACAAAUGUGGAAGUAACUAUGCACGGCUUGACGGUACCUAAUCAGAAAGCCACGGCUAACUACGUG
This 497-nucleotide ribosomal RNA is filed under the name uncultured bacterium. RNAcentral's name for it is "partial 16S ribosomal RNA". It matches the Rfam family "Bacterial small subunit ribosomal RNA", at positions 28 to 507 of the family's 1533-position model. The record is from RNAcentral.